This 329-nucleotide long non-coding RNA is filed under the name Citrus sinensis (sweet orange). Its description in RNAcentral is "long non-coding RNA (CSIN_LNC003429)". The record is from RNAcentral. Lineage: Eukaryota; Viridiplantae; Streptophyta; Magnoliopsida; Sapindales; Rutaceae.
CAUAUAUAAUAUCGUACCAAAUAACCAUGGAAAUCAUAUCACAAUAUCAUAUAGAAUACACAAAUCUGAAAAUCAUCACCAAACAAGUACCCAGGGGAAUAAUCUCGUCAUAUCCGAACCUCAACGGACAGGCAAUGACGUACUAUCUGGGUACCGUCACGCCCCGGAGCUACACAGAUAGACAGGGAAAUACCAUCUCAUAUCUCAUCAUAUCUAUGCAUGCAUAAUCUAGUCCCCAAAGGACAAAAGUGCCCAAGCACACGGCCCAAAGCCUCUGUGUGUACUCAGACGGGCCCCAAAGGCCUGUAUCUCAUUUGUAUCAUCUGUAU